RNAcentral lists this ribosomal RNA (442 nucleotides) under uncultured bacterium. RNAcentral describes it as "partial 16S ribosomal RNA". It matches the Rfam family "Bacterial small subunit ribosomal RNA", at positions 338 to 795 of the family's 1533-position model. The record is from RNAcentral.
CCUACGGGAGGCAGCAGUAGGGAAUCUUUCACAAUGGGCGAAAGCCUGAUGGAGCAACGCCGCGUGCAGGAUGAAGGCCUUCGGGUUGUAAACUGCUUUUAUAAACGAGAAAUAUGAUGGUAACUUAUGAAUAAGGAUCGGCUAACUACGUGCCAGCAGCCGCGGUCAUACGUAGGAUCCGAGCAUUAUCCGGAGUGACUGGGUGUAAAGAGUUGCGUAGGUGGCAUAAUAAGUAGCUAGUGAAAUCUGGUGGCUCAACCAUUCAGACUAUUAGCUAAACUGUUAAGCUCGAGACCGUGAGGGGUAACUGGAAUUUCUAGUGUAGGAGUGAAAUCCGUAGAUAUUAGAAGGAACACCAAUAGCGUAGGCAGGUUGCUGGGACGGUUCUGACACUAAGGCACGAAAGCGUAGGGAGCAAACGGGAUUAGAUACCCCAGUAGUC